UGAUCUAGCCAUGCCGCGUGUGUGAUGAAGGCCUUAGGGUCGUAAAGCUCUUUCGCCAGGGAUGAUAAUGACAGUACCUGGUAAAGAAACCCCGGCUAACUCCGUGCCAGCAGCCGCGGUAAUACGA
RNAcentral lists this ribosomal RNA (127 nucleotides) under uncultured Bacteroidota bacterium. RNAcentral describes it as "uncultured Bacteroidetes bacterium partial 16S ribosomal RNA". It matches the Rfam family "Bacterial small subunit ribosomal RNA", at positions 384 to 528 of the family's 1533-position model. The record is from RNAcentral. Lineage: Bacteria; Pseudomonadati; Bacteroidota.